GACAGAGGGCGCGAGCGUUGUUCGGAAUCACUGGGCGUAAAGCGCGCGCAGCCGGAUUUCCAAGUCGGAAGUGAAAUGCUGGGGCUCAACCCCAGCACUGCUUCCGAAACUGGGAGUCUAGAGAUCGGUAGAGGCCGGUGGAAUUGCAGGUGUAGCGGUGGAAUGCGUAGAGAUCUGCAAGAACACCCGUGGCGAAGGCGGCCGGCUGGGCCGGUCCUGACGCUGAGGCGCGAAAGCGUGGGGAGCAAACAGG
RNAcentral lists this unclassified non-coding RNA (253 nucleotides) under uncultured Gemmatimonadota bacterium. RNAcentral's name for it is "uncultured Gemmatimonadetes bacterium contains 16S-23S intergenic spacer region". It matches the Rfam family "Bacterial small subunit ribosomal RNA", at positions 524 to 776 of the family's 1533-position model. The record is from RNAcentral. Lineage: Bacteria; Pseudomonadati; Gemmatimonadota.